CCUUAGUGGAGUAACCUAGCCGAAAGGACAGACUAAUAUCGCAUAGUACUUCGAUGACGGCAUCAGAUUUGAAGUAAAGAGUUUAUCGGUAAUGGAUGGGGAUGCGUCUGAUUAGCUGUUGCGGGUAAGGCCCACCAAGGCGACGAUCAGUAGGGGUUCUGAGAGGAAGGUCCCCCACAUUGGAACUGAGACACGGUCCAAACUCCUACGGGAGGCAGCAGUGAGGAAUAUUGGGUCAAUGGACGGAAGUCUGAACCAGCCAAGUAGCGUGCAGGAUGACGGCCCUAUGGGUUGUAAACUGCUUUUGUAUGGGGAUAAAGUUAGGGACGUGUCCCUAUUUGCAGGUACCAUACGAAUAAGCACCGGCUAACUACGUGCCAGCAGCCGCGGUGAUACGUAGGGUGCGAGCGUUGUCCGGAUUUAUUGGGCGUAAAGGGCUCGUAGGUGGUUGAUCGCGUCGGAAGUGUAAUCUUGGGGCUUAACCCUGAGCGUGCUUUCGAUACGGGUUGACUUGAGGAAGGUAGGGGAGAAUGGAAUUCCUGGUGGAGCGGUGGAAU
RNAcentral lists this ribosomal RNA (557 nucleotides) under uncultured bacterium. RNAcentral describes it as "bacterial SSU rRNA". It matches the Rfam family "Bacterial small subunit ribosomal RNA", at positions 131 to 687 of the family's 1533-position model. The record is from RNAcentral.